This 391-nucleotide unclassified non-coding RNA is filed under the name soil metagenome. Its description in RNAcentral is "partial contains 5.8S ribosomal RNA, internal transcribed spacer 2, and large subunit ribosomal RNA". The stretch from base 1 to 122 matches the Rfam family "5.8S ribosomal RNA", at positions 35 to 154 of the family's 154-position model. The record is from RNAcentral.
GAUGAAGAACGCAGCGAAAUGCGAUACUUGGUGUGAAUUGCAGAAUCCCGUGAACCAUCGAGUCUUUGAACGCAAGUUGCGCCCGAAGCCACUAGGCCGAGGGCACGCCUGCCUGGGCGUCACACGCCGUUGCCCCCCCAUCUACUCCUUCGGGAUUGCGGGGGGGCGGAUGAUGGCCUCCUGUGCGCCUAGCCGCGCGGUUGGCAUAAAUACCAAGUCCUCGGCGACGCACGCCACGACAAUCGGUGGUUGCGAAACCUCGGUUGCCCGUCGUGUGCGUUCGUCGCGCAUCGAGGGCUCGAAAAAAUGCUCGGCUCCGGCUGGGCUUUCAACGCGACCCCAGGUCAGGCGUGGUUACCCGCUGAAUUUAAGCAUAUCAAUAAGCGGAGGA